Molecule: ribosomal RNA, 1250 nt
Filed under: uncultured Mycoplasmatota bacterium
Lineage: Bacteria; Bacillati; Mycoplasmatota
Description: bacterial SSU rRNA
Rfam family: Bacterial small subunit ribosomal RNA
Source: RNAcentral
CACGUGGGUAACCUGCCGUUAAGUUGGGAAUAACAUUUGGAAACAGGUGCUAAUACCGAAUAAAAGUAUAAGUGGCAUCACAUAUAUUUAAAAGGACCUAAGGGUUCGCUUAGCGAGGGGCCUGCGUUGCAUUAGUUAGUUGGUAGGGUAAAGGCCUACCAAGACGAUGAUGCGUAGCUGGACUGAGAGGUUGACCAGCCACAUUGGGACUGAGAACGGCCCAAACUCCUACGGGAGGCAGCAGUAGAGAAUCUUCGGCAAUGGGGGGAACCCUGACCGAGCAAUACCGCGUGAAUGAUGAAAUACUUUUAGUAUGUAAAGUUCUUUUAUUUAGGAGAAACGGUACUAGUAGGGAAUGACUAGUAAGUGAUAGUACUGAAUGAAUAAGCCCCGGCUAACUAUGUGCCAGCAGCCGCGGUAAUACAUAGGGGGCGAGCGUUAUCCGGAAUUAUUGGGUGUAAAGGGUGCGUAGGCGGUCGAUUAAGUUUUAGGUUUAAAUGCAAAGCUCAACUUUGUAUUGCUUAAAAAACUGGUCUGGCUAGAGAUAGGUAGAGGCAAGUGGAAUUUCAUGUGUAGUGGUAAAAUGCAUAAAUAUAUGAAGGAACACCAGUAGCGAAGGCGGCUUGCUGGGCCUAAUCUGACGUUAAAGCACGAAAGCGUGGGGAGCAAACAGGAUUAGAUACCCUGGUAGUCCACGCCAUAAACGAUGAAUGCUAGGUGUUUGGGGAAAACCUAAGUGCCGCAGUUAACGCAUUAAGCAUUCCACCUGAGUAUUACGUGCGCAAGCAUAAAACUCAAAGGAAUUGGCGGGACCUCGCACAAGCGGUGGAUCAUGUUGUUUAAUUCGUGGAUACGCGAUAGACCUUACCAGGUUUUGACAUCUAGGGCAAAUGGUAUUGAAAGAUAUCAGGAGGUUACCCCUAAGACAGGUGGUGCAUGGUUGUCGUCAGCUCGUGUCGUGAGAUGUAUGGUUAAGUCCAAUAACGAGCGCAACUCUUAUCGUUAGUUACCAAUAUUAAGUUAGGGACUUUAGCGAGACUGCCAGUGACAAACUGGAGGAAGGUGAGAAUGACGUCAAAUCAUCAUGCCCCUUAUAACCUGGGCUACAAACGUGAUACAAUGGUUGAUACAAAGGGAUGCGAAGUAGUAAUAUGGAGCGAAACCUAAAAAGACAAUCUCAGUUCGGAUUGAGGUCUGCAACUCGACCUCAUGAAGCCGAAAUCGCUAGUAAUCGUAGAUCAGAACGCUAC